Pelobates cultripes (western spadefoot toad) is the source of this 406-nucleotide non-coding RNA. The record is from the annotation of a GenBank genome assembly. NCBI's taxonomy places the organism in Eukaryota, Metazoa, Chordata, Amphibia, Anura, Pelobatidae.
GGAAGGACUCCCAAACGGUGCUCAGCACCUCUGCCGUGCAGGAAGCGUCCACAUCCCCGUGCUAACCUGUGCAAACAGCUGGAGGUGGGACAGCCCUAGCCAGGGGAGGAGGAGUCCGCACCCUGCAAGUGUAGAGAGACUUACUACAGAUAAGAAGAUUGUAACCUAUCGAUGGCCAAUUCCCUUUAACCUGUAAUGUGCAUGAUCGGUCCAGCCCUCACCUCUCAGAUCAGCUGCUCUCCUUCCACUGAGUGAGCCCCCCAUCCCUGUCUUCCCUUUGCUGCUGGCUAUAUCCAACCCUUGGACCCAAGGAGGCGCCUAUAUGAUUAUACGGUUGGUGCAUCUGGAUUCCCCUUCUUCCUGCUCUGUUUGCACCCUUAGAGGUGACUGCAAGGUGUGGUGCUGG